This 1295-nucleotide long non-coding RNA is filed under the name Gadus morhua (Atlantic cod). RNAcentral describes it as "lncRNA (ENSGMOG00000029498.1)". The record is from RNAcentral. Lineage: Eukaryota; Metazoa; Chordata; Actinopteri; Gadiformes; Gadidae.
AGAAGAUGAUCAAUGCAGCCACCAUUCACCGGGAGAAUUUGACGCCUACUGUUGCCAUCAACAGCAUGACACACGCAUACCACAUCACAUCACACACAUAAGCAUCUCCACCAAACCCACCGCUGCCAUCCCCCCCACCUCCCUCAUCACGUGCCUGGAAGAGAUCCGGAGCUGGUUGAGCAGGAACUUCCUGAAACUCAAUGGAAACAAGACCGAGGCCCUGCUCAUCGGAUCCAAAUCCACCCUCACUAAAUCACAACACACCCCAGCUCCACUCAUAAUUAUCGAUGGAUUCCCAGUACCCUUCUCCUCCAAAGUCAAGAGCCUCGGCGUCAUCCUGGACAACACCCUCUCAUUCGCACCCCAUAUUCACAACAUCACCCGGACUGCAUUCUUCCACCUCCGCAACAUCGCCAGACUCCGCCCAUCACUGACCCAAUCCAGCGCUGAAAUCCUAGUUCACUCAUUUGUCACAUCACGCAUAGACUACUGCAACGCCCUCCUCACCGGACUCCCCACCAAACUUAUCAACAGACUGCAGAUCAUUCAGAACUCAGCCGCCCGGAUCAUCACCCACACCAAAUCAUCUGACCACAUUACCCCUGUCCUCAUUCAACUUCACUGGCUCCCAGUACACUACCGCAUCCAAUACAAAACCCUACUCCUCACCUACAAAGCUCUCCACAACCUAGCCCCCAGUUAUCUCUGCGACCUCCUCCAAGAAUACACUCCCUCCCGCUCCCUCCGCUCAACCUCUGCUGGACUACUAUGUAUCCCCACAUCACGACUCACUUCAAUGGGUGCCCGGUCAUUCAGCUGUUCAGCAUCCAGGCUCUGGAACUCCCUCCCCCCACACAUAAAACAGUCAGACACCAUUUCAACCUUCAAGUCACAACUCAAAACUCACUUGUUCAAACUCGCACACAACGUCUAACUGAUCACUGUUUUGAUUGUUUUUUUUUUUUAUUUAUUUCUUAUUGCUUAUGUUUAUUUAUUUAUUUAUUUAUUUAUUUUUUCCACAAUGUCUUGCUUUUUAAAAAAUGUAUGAUGACUAUAUGCUCUGUAAGGUGACCUUGGGUGUCUUGAAAGGCGCCUCUAAAUUAAAUGUAUUAUUAUUAUUAUUAUUAUACCCAGGGCCUCUUCAAAAAAUGAAUCCAGAACUUAAUGAAUACAGGGGCUUCUUUCAACCGUUAUCCAUUGUUACAACCUUGUCACUAGUUUUGAAGUACAAAAGUUGUAUUCCAUUCUCCUCCCGCUCCUCCUCCAAUCCACCACAUCCUAAAUGCGUAUUGCAU